GAUGAACGCUAGCGGCAGGCUUAACACAUGCAAGUCGAGGGGCAGCACGGGUAGCAAUACCUGGUGGCGACCGGCGCAAGGGUGCGUAACGCGUGAGCAACAUGCCCUAUACAGGGGGAUAAUCCAGGGAAACUUGGUCUAAUAUCCCAUAGUAUUUAGAGGAGGCAUCUUCUAUAAAUUAAAGCUUCGGUGGUAUAGGAUUGGCUCGCGUGACAUUAGCUAGAUGGUGAGGUAACGGCUCACCAUGGCAAUGAUGUCUAGGGGUUCUGAGAGGAAGGCCCCCACACUGGGACUGAGACACGGCCCAGACUCCUACGGGAGGCAGCAGUGAGGAAUAUUGGACAAUGGAUGGAAAUCUGAUCCAGCCAUGCCGCGUGCAGGAGACAGCCCUAUGGGUUGUAAACUGCUUUUAAUGGGAGCAAUAAGGUCUACGUGUAGACUGAUGAGAGUACCAUAUGAAUAAGC
Molecule: ribosomal RNA, 465 nt
Filed under: uncultured bacterium
Lineage: Bacteria
Description: bacterial SSU rRNA
Rfam family: Bacterial small subunit ribosomal RNA
Source: RNAcentral